ACGAAAGUGAAGAGGGAUGCUUCAGCAAGCACAAUUCAAGAAGAGUGCCAAAGCAGGUGGGUUGUCAAGGUAACUGUGAUCUGCCCACCUUUAUGACAUCUUUUGCGGCUGCUUUAAAAGUCACCAACCAGAGGUGUCCAGGGUGGGAUCAAGGAGAGAGUAAAUCUGAUUAUGGGAGAACGAGUUUGUACAUGCAGGAGUGGAGGUUUUGUUUUUUGGUUUGCUCUGUUACUUAUAUUUUUUUUACCUAUAUUUUUUUUCUAUUUAAUAUUUAUCUUGUAGCUUUAUACCUUCGUAUUUCAUGUUUUAUUAGAUAGCUAGGGGUAGGAUUGGGAGUUGAGGCAGCUUAAGUCGGAUAUGUAGGUAGGUGAAAUAUAUUUAGGUAUUUUUUUUAAGAGCGGCUCUUGCGAGAAGACAAGCUUCAUAAUCUUAAAAAAGGUAAGGAGGAUUUCUUCUGCUUCUACUUGUAUCCUGGGGUUAAGAGCCCAGGAUUCCCGCCCUGGCCCUUGGCGGCUGCCAGGCCAGUCGCUCGGCUGAGUCCAGUACCUACUGACCAAGAGACCUGUAGGACUCUCUAUAGCAGGCGCCCCCAAACUCGGCCCUCCAGCUGUUUUGGGACUACAAUUCCCACCAUCCCUGACCAUUGGGUCCUGUUAGCUAGGGAUGAUGGGAGUUGUAGUCCCAAAACAGCUGGAGGGCUGAGUUUGGGGAUGCCUGCUCUAUAGCCUUUAUGUUGGUAUCUCUACACAAGACACAUGGAGUGAGGGAUGAACCACACCCUCCCAACUACACAGGUCAAGUCACUGCCCCAACUCUCCACCCAAAGCAAAAAUGAGCUGGAAGCAUGCAAUAAUCCCACAAGUACCCCGUUAAUUGGAUUAACGACGCCAGGAUGUCUGUGUUAGUAGUUCCUGAUUGUUCCGACUGGCCAUUAUAAACUGGACAUGAUAAUCACGAUGCUGUACUUUUCUGACCUUGCUUUCACCAUUCUGCCCAACCAGGUAUCCAUCCACCCAUCCAUAUCUACAGACAGACAGAUACCUACCUACCUACCUACCUAUCUAUAACUUAUGAUAACAUUCCAUGCAACUGAAGAAGUAAAUUUAUGGAUGCCAUAAUUAAAUUGGCUAGUCUUUAAGGCACUACAAGGCCUCUUUCCACUACACCCACCCAAUCCAAAAAGGCCCACUAACAAAAUAAACACCCCUUCGAAGUACCACUAAGUUUUUUGUUUCAAUUUUUUAUAAAUUGUGUAACUUACCAUUCUUCUGCAAGGUAAUUUACUCCCAUUGAGGAUAAGCCCUCUACAGAUCCUUUAAUUCUGAAAGAAGCACGAGACAAAAGAGAAAGGAAAAGUUAAAAAGGAUGAAGAAUGCUAAUAAGCUUGGCCCAUCAUCCCUGUCCCAUCAGCUAUGCUGGCUGGAGCCAAUGGGAACUGGGAGUACAAUGGUAUCUGAAUGGGCACAUUUCUCCCACCCCUGUGCACAGCUUGCCUCCCAGACAUUAUGACCUGUUAGGUGAGAUGGGGUCCAGGUAGCGAUGUAGAAGAUGACCAUGAAGGCCAGACCUAGGCCUCUUGAGGAUGGGUGCGAAGACCCCAAAAAGCAUUAGCCCGCAAGACUAGCAUCACACCCAGUACUGACUGCCUCUCUCCACCAGCUUAGGCAGGAGCCGUGCACUAGCAGAAUUCUAAACACCUCAUUUUUAAGUGAAUCAUCCUAGAACUGUACAGUUGGAAGGGACCCCAAGGGUUAUCUAGUCCAAUCACUGCAAUGCAGGUAAAGGGUAAAGGGACCCCUGACCAUUAGGUCCAGUCGCAGACGACUCUGGGGUUGCAGCACUCAUCUCACUUUAUUGGCCGAGGGAGCCAGCGUACAGCUUCCAGGUCAUGUGGCCAGCAUGACUAAGACGCUUCUGGUGAACCAGAGCAGCGCACGGAAACGCCGUUUACCUUCCCGCUGGAGUGGUACCUAUUUAUCUACUUGCACUUCAUGCUUUCAAACUGCUGGGUUGGCAGGAGCAGGGACCGAGCAACGGGAGCUCACCGUUGUGAGGAUUCAAACUGCCAACCUUCUGAUCGGCAAGCCCUAGGCUCUAUGGUUUAACCCAUAGCGCCACCCGCGUCCCCUGAAAUGCAGGAAUCUCAGCCAAAGCAUCCAUGACAGAUGGACAUCCAACCUCUGCUUUAAAAUCUCCAAGGAAGGAGAGUCCACAAACUCUAGAGGGAGACCGAUCCUUUUUCGAACAGAAAGUGUUUUCCCUGAUGUUUAGUCAGAAUCUCCUUUCCUGUAACGUGAAGCCAUUGGUUCAAGUCCUCCCCCUCCAGAGCUGGAGAAAACAAGCUUGUUCCCUCUUCCACGGGACAGCCCCUGAUAUUUUUGAAGAUGGCGACCAUAUGGCAAUUACUGGCAGGAUCCAUAGGGUGCAUUUCUCCCCUAUCUUCUCACUAAAGGUCCUUUAUUCUGCUCCUAUUGCUGCAGAAAACGUCAGCCUGCAAGGAGAAAUCCUCAAAUUCUCCAGCAGCUGCUUGCUUUUGUGUGCCCUCCUGUGGUGAGCUAAAGGUACUACCAUGGAAAAAAAUCAGACACAAAACUGACAAGUAAAAUAAAUUCUGUAGUCAUGUCUGUAUUCCAUCACAAGGCAUCUAAAGAGGCAGUAAUCAGGUGUCCCCGACGGGACUUCUCACCUCUUCGUAGGGCCUUUCUAAAACCCUUUCUAAAAAAAGAGUGAGGUAAACUUACCUGGAGAUUUAGAGCAGUAAAUUAAAAUAGAAUGACAGAAAGAAAACAAUGGGUUGGUACCAAAGCAAGUUGAUUUGUUAUGUGGCCUUAGUGCACCGAUAGGUUCAACACUAUUUAUUUUUAAUUUCAAGCUGUAGUGAGUUGCCGUCUGGAUGCAAAUAGGAAACCUGCUUAAAACUGGUUCAGUCAGGAAUUGUGGGUAGGAAGGUGGAAAUAUCUAAAUUAAUGGUUCUUAUUAGCCUGAGUAACACAGAGUUAGAAACAAAAGAGGAAUGUAAAUGGAUAAAAUUGAUGGUAAUUGCAGCCAGACAGGUUAUAGCGAGUAAUUGGAAAAAUGCAGAAGAGCUAGGGGUGAACCAAUGGAAGGAAAAAUUGAAAAAUAUUAUAAUCUUAGAAUAUCUUAACUGUGAAGAUACAUAACAUGAAAGGGUUUAAGGUCAGUGAGAAGGAGGAGGCUUGGUUUGAGAAUAAAUUGAAUUAUUUGGGCAGGUUUGAACAAUUUGGGGCAAUUAAAAUGUUAAAAGUUAAAUAAACCUUGUGGAGGGAGAAGUGUUAAGGUAUAUGGAAUUGUACAUAUGGUUGUUCUGAAUAUGUUAUUAUUGAUUAUGUAAACCCAAUGUAUCAGCCGCCUGGGGGUUUUCACUGUUUGUUUUUUUACCAACAACCAAAACACAACCAAACUGGUUCAGCGCCCCCCAAAUCUAAUAAAAAUUAUAGUGUGUGUUGUCCCUUUUCCCAAUAGAGCAUCUCAGACUAAGGACCAGAAACAGGAAGCCAGUCUGAGCAGUGGCCCAUCAGAAAAAAGGUAACCAAAGAUAAAAUCACACUGCGGUUAGAAGAGGGUUCUUCACUCCUCCUGGUAACCCUCCCCACCUAUAUAAUAUAUACAUUCUUAUAUUCCCUGCAGGCCAGGGUGCACACAUACAUCUUUCUAGAUAUGCAGUUGGCUAGCAGCUCUCUGGCAGCCACAGAAUUCUUGGUUGCCUAGGAGGCCCAGGCAAGUCCUCAAAUGCAAGGUUUUCCAGCUUACCUCUCGGUCGUGGCCAUCUGUGUGUGCUUUUAGCCUGGGCUUUCCCGUUUUGUCUCUCCUGAAAAGCAAGCGCAGGUCACUUCGUUACAUUCCUCCAUCGCUAUCUUUUGAGGGGGGUGGGAGAGGAAUCUGAACACUGGAAAAAUAGCAGCAAAACUGACCAGCUGCAGUGUUUUGAAAUACCGUAUUUUUCGCUCUACAGGACGCAACCGGCCAUAGGACGCACCUUGUUUUAGAGGGGGAGAAGAGAGAAAAAAAAUCUCCCCCUCUCUGCUCAGCGCCCCUUCAGCGAAGCGGCAGGAGAACUGGAACCCCUUCCAUUUCUCCUCCCGCUUCGCUGAAGGGGCGCUGCGCAGCUCUCCCUCUCUGCUGAAGCCAGGAGAGUCUUGCUCUCCCGGCUUCAGCAAAAGGAACCUGAAGCCUCCGGAACGCAGCGGGAACUCACGCUGCGCUCUGAAGGCUUCAGGCGGCUAUCCCUGAAGCCUGGAGAGCGAGAGGGGUCAGUGCGCGUCGACCCCUUUCGCUCUCCAGGCUUCAGCGAAAGCAACGCGUAGCCUCUGGAGCGCGGAGGGAGCGCUCCCACUGCGUUUUGGAGGCUUCGCCUUGCUAUCGCUGAAGCCAAGGAACCUGCAUUCGCUCCAUAGGACGCACACACAUUUCCCAUUAAUUUUUGGAGGGGAAAAAGUGCGCCCUAUAGAGCAAAAAAUACGGUACAUUGGGUGAAUGACAGGUGCCCCACCACACCUGGCUAGUCCUUGCUGUGCUGGAAAGUUUCAGGAUUCCACCCCUUCCUGCCACCCCGCUCUGCUCCCCAACGUAAGAAAGCACAGAUGUCUUAAAGGCAGCAAGAACCCUUUGGAAUCUCUCCUGCUACAUUUAAGGGCCUUCUCAGUGAUGGCUCCAACCUGGUGGAAUGCUCUGUCCCAUGAGACUAGGACCCUUCAGGAUUUAACCUCCUUCCAUUGGGCCUGUAAGACAGAGCUAUUCCGCCUGGCCUUUAAUUUGAAUUCAGCCUGAUCUUUUAUUUCCCUUCUCUUCCUUCCCCCCUCCCCUUUUAUGAAGAUCACCCGCUCCGAUACCCCACAGCUAAUUCUCCCCUGGCUCCUCACUGGCCCAAGUAGGACCAAUUCAGCCAGCUAGCCCUGAGGAUUAUCUAAUAGAUUUUUUAUUUUUAUUGUCAUUCAUGUUUUUAUACUGUAUUUUAUGCUGCUUUUAUAAUUGUUUUAAAGUGUUUUAAAUUUGUUGUUAGCUGCCCUGAGCCCGGUUUUUGAACCGGGAAGGGCGGGGUAUAAAAAUUUAUUAUUAUUUAUUAUUAUUAUUAUUAAAAUGUUUCAUCCCAUCUUUACCCCGAGCAAACAAGCCCUGCUCCUGAAUGGAGUUCCCCACACUGUCAAUGUGUCCUUCUGAUCUUCCAAAGGGUCCAUCGUUCUUCCUUAUUAACACAAUGAUCUUCAACUGUUUUCUCUAUCCCCUUCAGCCCUUCAUCUUUGGCCUAAGGAUUGAGCUGCUUUGCAAAACGGUUCUGAAGAUAAGAGGUGAUGAGGGACACAGAGACCGGCCUUUCCGAAGCUGCUGUUAAGAGAAAGAAAAUUUCCCACGUACAAUACGAUGCUUGCAGCUUAGAAGAUGAGACACAGAUAGUCAGACAACUGAAGAUGGCACAGAAAAGAUCUGGAUUACAUGCUACAGAGAUCUGUACAACCCUGUUAUCGUGCUAUGUUUUAAUUUCAGAAUCUGCCCCUUGCUAUUUGAAAAAGUGUCCUGGAAACAGCUGAAAACGAUGCACCUUUAAAACCGCAAAAACUGUAACAAAGCAGUGAACCAAUCUAAUUCCCUUGUCCCAUCCUUUUGUCAGGAACAGACCUACUUCACACAAACUUUAAUUCCUUCUGAAUGGCCACAAGAAUACAGUGGUACCUCGGGUUACAUAUGCUUCAGGUUACAGACUCCGCUAACCCAGAAACACUACCUCGGGUUAAGAACUUUGCUUCAGGAUGAGAACAGAAAUCGCGCGGCAGCAGCCGGAGGCCCCAUUAGCUAAAGUGGUGCUUCAGGUUAAGAACAGUUUCAGGUUAAGAACGGACCUCCGGAACGAAUUAAGUACGUAACCAGAGGUACCACUGUACAUUGAUUUUCAGUAUUCUUUAGACACAUUAACAAACACACAAUACAUUUAUUAGUGGAUGACAUCUUGCUGAUUCUUUCCAACCUGGCAGAAGCAACCCUGUGUUGAAGACGAUACUAGCAGAGUUUGAAAACAUUGCAAAUCUAGGAACUGAUGACAUUAAGUCUGAGAUAAGGUGCCUCAAUAUCCCCCAUGAUCUGGCAAAGGCACCUUCAGAAUAUGUUUUACAUUGAAAAUAAAUAGCUUUGAAUAUUCAGGUUUACAAGUUCCCUGAAGGAAUUCUGGGUGUUGAGUCAUGUUCCUGGAAUUUAAAUAUUUGCUGGCUAGAUGCAAGGACCAUUGUAAGGAUG
Molecule: long non-coding RNA, 6246 nt
Filed under: Podarcis lilfordi (Lilford's wall lizard)
Lineage: Eukaryota; Metazoa; Chordata; Lepidosauria; Squamata; Lacertidae
Source: RNAcentral